GGAUCCAGACUUUGAUCAUGGCUCAGGACGAACGCUGGCGGCGUGCUUAACACAUGCAAGUCGUACGAGGCAGAUUUUCAUCACUGAACUUUAAAGAGCGGACUGAUGAGAGGCGUCGUGAAUGCGAAGCAUUCACCACACUUUUAUAAAGUGCUUAACUUUAAGGCUGAGUGAUGAAAAGAUGCCGAGUGGCAAACGGGUGAGUAACGCGUAGACAACCUGCCGUAAAGAUGGGGACAACAGUUCGAAAGGACUGCUAAUACCGAAUGUUGUAGAGUUUUCGCAUGGGAAUCCUACUAAAGGUGGCCUCUACUUGUAAGCUAUCGCUUUACGAUGGGUCUGCGUCUGAUUAGCUAGUUGGUGGGGUAACGGCCUACCAAGGCGACGAUCAGUAGCCGGUCUGAGAGGAUGAACGGCCACAUUGGAACUGAGACACGGUCCAGACUCCUACGGGAGGCAGCAGUGGGGAAUCUUCCGCAAUGGGCGCAAGCCUGACGGAGCAACGCCGCGUGAGUGAAGAAGGGUUUCGACUCGUAAAGCUCUGUUGUCGGGGACGAAUGUCAGGACUCAAAAUAUGGGUUCUGAAUGACGGUACCUGACGAGGAAGCCACGGCUAACUACGUGCCAGCAGCCGCGGUAAUACGUAGGUGGCGAGCGUUGUCCGGAAUUAUUGGGCGUAAAGGGAGCGCAGGCGGGAAGGUAAGUCUAUCUUAAAAGUGCGGGGCUCAACCCCGUGAGGGGAUGGAAACUAUCUUUCUUGAGUGCAGGAGAGGAAAGCGGAAUUCCUAGUGUAGCGGUGAGAUGCGUAGAUAUUAGGAGGAACACCAGUGGCGAAGGCGGCUUUCUGGACUGUAACUGACGCUGAGGCUCGAAAGCGUGGGGAGCGAACAGGAUUAGAUACCCUGGUAGUCCACGCCGUAAACGAUGAAUGCUAGGUGUAGGAGGUAUCGACCCCUUCUGUGCCGGAGUUAACGCAAUAAGCAUUCCGCCUGGGGAGUACGGCCGCAAGGCUGCAACUAA
RNAcentral lists this ribosomal RNA (1020 nucleotides) under uncultured Bacillota bacterium. RNAcentral's name for it is "bacterial SSU rRNA". It matches the Rfam family "Bacterial small subunit ribosomal RNA", at positions 1 to 903 of the family's 1533-position model. The record is from RNAcentral. Lineage: Bacteria; Bacillati; Bacillota.